This 136-nucleotide ribosomal RNA is filed under the name uncultured bacterium. RNAcentral describes it as "partial 16S ribosomal RNA". It matches the Rfam family "Bacterial small subunit ribosomal RNA", at positions 355 to 508 of the family's 1533-position model. The record is from RNAcentral.
UGGGGAAUAUUGGACAAUGGGCGCAAGCCUGAUCCAGCCAUGCCGCGUGAGUGAUGAAGGCCUUAGGGUUGUAAAGCUCUUUCAGUGGGGACGAUAAUGACGGUACCCACAGAAGAAGCCCCGGCUAACUUCGUGC